AAGCGGGGGAUCGCAAGACCUCGCGCGAUUGGAGCGGCCGAUGGCAGAUUAKGUAGUUGGUGGGGUAAAGGCUCACCAAGCCUGCGAUCUGUAGCUGGUCUGAGAGGACGACCAGCCACACUGGGACUGAGACACAGCCCAGACUCCUACGGGAGGCAGCAGUGGGGAAUUUUGGACAAUGGGCGCAAGCCUGAUCCAGCCAUUCCGCGUGCAGGAUGAAGGCCCUCGGGUUGUAAACUGCUUUUGUACGGAACGAAAAGGCUCUCUCUAAUACAGGGGGCUCAUGACGGUACCGUAAGAAUAAGCACCGGCUAACUACGUGCCAGCAGCCGCGGUAAUACGUAGGGUGCAAGCGUUAAUCGGAAUUACUGGGCGUAAAGCGUGCGCAGGCGGUGAUGUAAGACAGUUGUGAAAUCCCCGGGCUCAACCUGGGAACUGCAUCUGUGACUGGAGUGCCGCAAAAGGGGAUGGAAUUUC
RNAcentral lists this ribosomal RNA (477 nucleotides) under uncultured bacterium. RNAcentral describes it as "bacterial SSU rRNA". It matches the Rfam family "Bacterial small subunit ribosomal RNA", at positions 202 to 670 of the family's 1533-position model. The record is from RNAcentral.